GUCAGGUUGGCCGAGUGGUCUAAGGCGCCAGACUUAAGUUCUGGUUCUCAUACGAGAGCGUGGGUUCGAACCCCACACCUGACA
Molecule: non-coding RNA, 84 nt
Organism: Drosophila innubila
Lineage: Eukaryota; Metazoa; Arthropoda; Insecta; Diptera; Drosophilidae
Source: the annotation of a RefSeq genome assembly